GGUGGUUCUAGGGUAACGCACCCCGGAACGAGGCUCCCUCCUCUCUGGUUCUGGGUGUCACCUGAGAACCACA
Molecule: non-coding RNA, 73 nt
Organism: Myotis davidii
Lineage: Eukaryota; Metazoa; Chordata; Mammalia; Chiroptera; Vespertilionidae
Source: Rfam